UAGACCGCCUGGGGAGUACGGCCGCAAGGUUAAAACUCAAAUGAAUUGACGGGGGCCCGCACAAGCGGUGGAGCAUGUGGUUUAAUUCGAUGCAACGCGAAGAACCUUACCUGGUCUUGACAUCCACAGAACUUUCCAGAGAUGGAUUGGUGCCUUCGGGAACUGUGAGACAGGUGCUGCAUGGCUGUCGUCAGCUCGUGUUGUGAAAUGUUGGGUUAAGUCCCGCAACGAGCGCAACCCUUAUCCUUUGUUGCCAGCGGUCCGGCCGGGAACUCAAAGGAGACUGCCAGUGAUAAACUGGAGGAAGGUGGGGAUGACGUCAAGUCAUCAUGGCCCUUACGACCAGGGCUACACACGUGCUACAAUGGCGCAUACAAAGAGAAGCGACCUCGCGAGAGCAAGCGGACCUCAUAAAGUGCGUCGUAGUCCGGAUUGGAGUCUGCAACUCGACUCCAUGAAGUCGGAAUCGCUAGUAAUCGUGGAUCAGAAUGCCACGGUGAAUACGUUCCCGGGCCUUGUACACACCGCCCGUCACACCAUGGGAGUGGGUUGCAAAAGAAGUAGGUAGCUUAACCUUCGGGAGGGCGCUUACCACUUUGUGAUUCAUGACUGGGGUGAAGUCGUAACAAGGUAACCGUAGGGGAACCUGCGGUUGGAUCACCUCCUUACCUUAAAGAAGC
This 680-nucleotide ribosomal RNA is filed under the name Salmonella enterica subsp. enterica serovar Muenchen. Its description in RNAcentral is "bacterial SSU rRNA". It matches the Rfam family "Bacterial small subunit ribosomal RNA", at positions 865 to 1533 of the family's 1533-position model. Lineage: Bacteria; Pseudomonadati; Pseudomonadota; Gammaproteobacteria; Enterobacterales; Enterobacteriaceae. RNAcentral also lists the same sequence under 2 other names. The record is from RNAcentral.